Molecule: ribosomal RNA, 550 nt
Filed under: uncultured bacterium
Lineage: Bacteria
Description: bacterial SSU rRNA
Rfam family: Bacterial small subunit ribosomal RNA
Source: RNAcentral
UAGGGAAUCUUCGGCAAUGGACGGAAGUCUGACCGAGCAACGCCGCGUGAGUGAAGAAGUUUUUCGGAUCGUAAAGCUCUGUUGUAAGAGAAGAACGAGUGUGAGAGUGGAAAGUUCACACUGUGACGGUAUCUUACCAGAAAGGGACGGCUAACUACGUGCCAGCAGCCGCGGUAAUACGUAGGUCCCGAGCGUUGUCCGGAUUUAUUGGGCGUAAAGCGAGCACAGGCGGUUAGAUAAGUCUGAAGUUAAAGGCUGUGGCUUAACCAUAGUAGGCUUUGGAAACUGUUUAACUUGAGUGCAAGAGGGGAGAGUGGAAUUCCAUGUGUAGCGGUGAAAUGCGUAGAUAUAUGGAGGAACACCGGUGGCGAAAGCGGCUCUCUGGCUUGUAACUGACGCUGAGGCUCGAAAGCGUGGGGAGCAAACAGGAUUAGAUACCCUGGUAGUCCACGCUGUAAACGAUGAGUGCUAGGUGUUAGACCCUUUCCGGGGUUUAGUGCCGCAGCUAACGCAUUAAGCACUCCGCCUGGGGAGUACGACCGCAAGGUUG